Molecule: ribosomal RNA, 491 nt
Filed under: uncultured bacterium
Lineage: Bacteria
Description: partial 16S ribosomal RNA
Rfam family: Bacterial small subunit ribosomal RNA
Source: RNAcentral
AGUGAACGCUGGCGGUAGGCCUAACACAUGCAAGUCGAACGGCAGCACAGUAAGAGCUUGCUCUUACGGGUGGCGAGUGGCGGACGGGUGAGGAAUACAUCGGAAUCUACUUUUUCGUGGGGGAUAACGUAGGGAAACUUACGCUAAUACCGCAUACGACCUACGGGUGAAAGCAGGGGAUCUUCGGACCUUGCGCGAUUGAAUGAGCCGAUGUCGGAUUAGCUAGUUGGCGGGGUAAAGGCCCACCAAGGCGACGAUCCGUAGCUGGUCUGGGAGGAUGAUCAGCCACACUGGAACUGAGACACGGUCCAGACUCCUACGGGAGGCAGCAGUGGGGAAUAUUGGACAAUGGGCGCAAGCCUGAUCCAGCCAUACCGCGUGGGUGAAGAAGGCUUCGGGUUGUAAAGCCCUUUUGUUGGGAAAGAAAAGCAGCAGGUUAAUACCCCGCUGUUCUGACGGUACCCAAAGAAUAAGCACCGGCUAACUUCGUG